CUAUGCGUCUUUGAAUACCAUUUUUAAUACGCUCAACGUUUGCAUGUUGACCUGCACGCUCAGCAAUAUCUAUGUAA
This 77-nucleotide small RNA is filed under the name Staphylococcus aureus. Its description in RNAcentral is "HMPRFS0000_0608". Lineage: Bacteria; Bacillati; Bacillota; Bacilli; Caryophanales; Staphylococcaceae. The record is from RNAcentral.